RNAcentral lists this ribosomal RNA (1151 nucleotides) under Escherichia coli. RNAcentral describes it as "partial 23S ribosomal RNA". It matches the Rfam family "Bacterial large subunit ribosomal RNA", at positions 911 to 2044 of the family's 2925-position model. The record is from RNAcentral. Lineage: Bacteria; Pseudomonadati; Pseudomonadota; Gammaproteobacteria; Enterobacterales; Enterobacteriaceae.
UGUUUCGGCAAGGGGGUCAUCCCGACUUACCAACCCGAUGCAAACUGCGAAUACCGGAGAAUGUUAUCACGGGAGACACACGGCGGGUGCUAACGUCCGUCGUGAAGAGGGAAACAACCCAGACCGCCAGCUAAGGUCCCAAAGUCAUGGUUAAGUGGGAAACGAUGUGGGAAGGCCCAGACAGCCAGGAUGUUGGCUUAGAAGCAGCCAUCAUUUAAAGAAAGCGUAAUAGCUCACUGGUCGAGUCGGCCUGCGCGGAAGAUGUAACGGGGCUAAACCAUGCACCGAAGCUGCGGCAGCGACGCUUAUGCGUUGUUGGGUAGGGGAGCGUUCUGUAAGCCUGUGAAGGUGUGCUGUGAGGCAUGCUGGAGGUAUCAGAAGUGCGAAUGCUGACAUAAGUAACGAUAAAGCGGGUGAAAAGCCCGCUCGCCGGAAGACCAAGGGUUCCUGUCCAACGUUAAUCGGGGCAGGGUGAGUCGACCCCUAAGGCGAGGCCGAAAGGCGUAGUCGAUGGGAAACAGGUUAAUAUUCCUGUACUUGGUGUUACUGCGAAGGGGGGACGGAGAAGGCUAUGUUGGCCGGGCGACGGUUGUCCCGGUUUAAGCGUGUAGGCUGGUUUUCCAGGCAAAUCCGGAAAAUCAAGGCUGAGGCGUGAUGACGAGGCACUACGGUGCUGAAGCAACAAAUGCCCUGCUUCCAGGAAAAGCCUCUAAGCAUCAGGUAACAUCAAAUCGUACCCCAAACCGACACAGGUGGUCAGGUAGAGAAUACCAAGGCGCUUGAGAGAACUCGGGUGAAGGAACUAGGCAAAAUGGUGCCGUAACUUCGGGAGAAGGCACGCUGAUAUGUAGGUGAAGCGACUUGCUCGUGGAGCUGAAAUCAGUCGAAGAUACCAGCUGGCUGCAACUGUUUAUUAAAAACACAGCACUGUGCAAACACGAAAGUGGACGUAUACGGUGUGACGCCUGCCCGGUGCCGGAAGGUUAAUUGAUGGGGUCAGCGCAAGCGAAGCUCUUGAUCGAAGCCCCGGUAAACGGCGGCCGUAACUAUAACGGUCCUAAGGUAGCGAAAUUCCUUGUCGGGUAAGUUCCGACCUGCACGAAUGGCGUAAUGAUGGCCAGGCUGUCUCCACCCGAGACUCAGUGAAAUUG